Molecule: long non-coding RNA, 203 nt
Filed under: Elaeis guineensis (African oil palm)
Lineage: Eukaryota; Viridiplantae; Streptophyta; Magnoliopsida; Arecales; Arecaceae
Description: long non-coding RNA (EGUI_LNC045543)
Source: RNAcentral
GGUUGGAGGCAUGACAAAAAUCUACUAUCAUUCUCUACCAUAGAUGUCCAGGGUUCAUGACUCAUAAAUAGGGUCCACUACGGGUACACCUCCGGUUGAAGUAGAUCAUGGUUUAGACUCCUAAUGGUACACGCACAUCUUACCACUUCUUUCAACAAAAGCAAGUACAUAUGAAAAACAAAUAGCAAUAGGAUCAAAUAAAC